RNAcentral lists this ribosomal RNA (486 nucleotides) under uncultured bacterium. Its description in RNAcentral is "SSU rRNA". It matches the Rfam family "Bacterial small subunit ribosomal RNA", at positions 26 to 523 of the family's 1533-position model. The record is from RNAcentral.
AGGACGAACGCUGGCGGCGUGCUUAACACAUGCAAGUCGAACGGAGUCCAACCAGUGGCAACACUGGGGAAGACUUAGUGGCGAACGGGUGAGUAACACGUGAGCAACCUGCCCCGAAGACCGGGAUAACAGCGGGAAACCGCUGCUAAUACCGGAUGCCCCCACCGGGCCGCAUGACCUGGUGAGGAAAUGGAUUCCGCUUCGGGAGGGACUCGCGGCCUAUCAGCUUGUUGGUGGGGUAAUGGCCUACCAAGGCGUCGACGGGUAGCUGGUCUGAGAGGACGAUCAGCCACACUGGGACUGAGACACGGCCCAGACUCCUACGGGAGGCAGCAGUGGGGAAUCUUGCGCAAUGGGCGAAAGCCUGACGCAGCAACGCCGCGUGAGGGACGAAGGCCUUCGGGUUGUAAACCUCUUUCAGCAGGGACGAUUGUGACGGUACCUGCAGAAGAAGCCCCGGCAACUACGUGCCAGCAGCCGCGGUAA